CCCAGACUCCUACGGGAGGCAGCAGUGGGGAAUAUUGGGCAAUGGGCGCAAGCCUGACCCAGCAACGCCGCGUGAAGGAAGAAGGCUUUCGGGUUGUAAACUUCUUUUGGCAGGGAAGAGUAGAAGACGGUACCUGUCGAAUAAGCCACGGCUAACUACGUGCCAGCAGCCGCGGUAAUACGUAGGGAGCGAGCGUUGUCCGGAUUUACUGGGUGUAAAGGGUGCGCAGGCGGCUCUGCAAGUCAGGCGUGAAAGCUAGGGGCUCAACCCCUAAAUUGCGCUUGAAACUGCGGAGCUUGAGUGAAGUAGAGGCAGGCGGAAUUCCCGGUGUAGCGGUGAAAUGCGUAGAGAUCGGGAGGAACACCAGUGGCGAAGGCGGCCUGCUGGGCUUUAACUGACGCUCAGGCACGAAAGCAUGGGUAGCAAACAGGAUUAGAUACCCCAGUACC
RNAcentral lists this ribosomal RNA (449 nucleotides) under uncultured bacterium. RNAcentral describes it as "partial 16S ribosomal RNA". It matches the Rfam family "Bacterial small subunit ribosomal RNA", at positions 330 to 794 of the family's 1533-position model. The record is from RNAcentral.